RNAcentral lists this long non-coding RNA (216 nucleotides) under Brachypodium distachyon (stiff brome). RNAcentral's name for it is "long non-coding RNA (BDIS_LNC001100)". The record is from RNAcentral. Lineage: Eukaryota; Viridiplantae; Streptophyta; Magnoliopsida; Poales; Poaceae.
UGGGCCUGGUCGUUCUGCUCCAAUGCCUCUGCUCGUCUCCUCCCCGCAUGUUUGAUUCUGGUUCUCUUUUGCUCAAAAAAAAAAUCUUGUUCUCUUCCUCUUUUCCUCUACCCCUCUCUCUCUCUCAAUCCUCUCUCAAAAACCCAAAUCGGAAAUCUUCAAAUCGGAUAAAACCUCCAACCCAAUUACCCCAAGUAUUCCUAAUUAACACAUCGC